CGGGGUGUGGCUCAGCUUGGCUAGAGCGCCUGGUUUGGGACCAGGAGGUCGCAGGUUCGA
Molecule: transfer RNA, 60 nt
Filed under: Dorea sp. CAG:317
Lineage: Bacteria; Bacillati; Bacillota; Clostridia; Lachnospirales; Lachnospiraceae
Rfam family: tRNA
About the family: Transfer RNA (tRNA) molecules are approximately 80 nucleotides in length. Their secondary structure includes four short double-helical elements and three loops (D, anti-codon, and T loops).
Source: Rfam by way of RNAcentral